This is a long non-coding RNA of Prionailurus viverrinus (fishing cat), 2544 nucleotides long. RefSeq lists it as uncharacterized. The transcript is spliced from 3 exons. The record is from RefSeq and is a predicted model, not a curated record. Lineage: Eukaryota; Metazoa; Chordata; Mammalia; Carnivora; Felidae.
CCGAAGGUCACGUGAUCGCAACCGAGCCAAUGGCCCUUGAAAUUUGCUUUGAUAUGCAAGUGCUUUGGAUUACAGGCAUGUUUCCAGAAUGAAUUGUGCCCACAAACCAAGGUUUUACUGUAUUUCCUUCCUUCUGGGUUUGCUGGACAUAAACUGUGACAGGUGGCUUCUUGGUGACCAUGAACGACGGGGAGUCAACAGGAGCAUGGGUUAGGGAAAAGCCUGGAUCAACAGUAACACAAAUUAUUGAGAAAGGGUAUGAAUGUCUUUACACCCAGGGGACUCCCCACCGUGAGGUAAGGGGGACGAAAUCGAGACACGGAGAUGACUUGCCGGGAAAGUUAGUUGUGAUAAAGAGUGUUUGUUGGCUUUAUUACUUUUCUUGUUGCAAAUUCGAUAAAGAUAGGUCGGAUGCUAAAUGUAAAUGCACAGUAGACGGAAGGGCUGCACAGACUUCUGUUUUGCGUUUUUAUACAGUCCUGCUUUAUCGCCCACUCUGUCCUGUAGCGAUACCACGAAGAACAAGCUUAAGAAAGCCGAUCUUGUGCGUUGGCUAGGUUUUCCCCGUCAUCACCUGGGCUUUUCACCACGACUGCCUACAAACAAGAGAUUCUGUCAGAGGGGAAGUGGGAGCCGACUGGUUUCAUUCGUUGUCAUCCUCCGAGCCGGCUGCCAAGGUGGUUAAAGGCUUUCUCUACGGAACAGAAAAGGCAAACCUCCCUCGAAGGGAAAAGCAGGAUCUUGUCUCACGUAAGAGACAGGAACAGGGUCCGCCGCAUCCUCGAAAAGGAUUCGAUGCAACUCUUUGGAAAUUAACUUCCUCAGAGCCAAGGAGAGCUAGACUGUUUCUCAGUGGAUUGUGUCCUGCAUUGAGUAGUAAGGAAGCUGCCAUCCCUCUUGGGAUACCUCAUUGGGUACCAUAUACUUCCGGGCGAGGACGUGGACUCCUUGGGCGUCCAGCAUUGUGCCUUGUGCACACUAGUGCCUUCCACUGAUGAGUUGUAUCUGGGGCUGACAAGUAUAUGGCUUCCUCUUUUGGAGACCACCGUCCCCUCCCAGGGAGGUGCUGAUGAGGUUGGGGGCGGGGAGGAAUAAGCCUACCGCUAGGUCGAUUAGAUGACAGAAUCUAGCCUCUUGAGUUAGAGCGGGGCCUUUGGUACCUCUCCCGGGGGAGAUAACAGCCCUUUAUCUCAGCUGUCACCCCCUACAGCUGCACGUUCUUUCAAGUCGAUUUGACCAGUCAUGAGAAAUUUUGUAACACAUAUGCAUUGACACCUGCCAUCUCUAAGGUACUGAAUGAGAAUACGACGAAAUGGACCUGCAAUCGACAUUGGUGUUUUCAGAGUUCCACGGAUCUCACGGUGGCAAAUACUUCUUUAAGGCAGGAACAGCUGUCAGCUGUCUGUACGAAGCGAACAGUUUCUGGGGCACCUGGGUGGCUCAGUUGGUUGAGCGUCCGACUUCGGUUCAGGUCACGAUCUUGCGGUUCGUGAGUUUUGAGUCCUGUGCUGAGUCCAAGAGCCUUGGAGCCUGCUUCCGAUUCUGUGUCUCCCUCUCUCUCUGCCCCUCCCCCCCCAUCUCUCUCAAAAUAAAGAAACGUUAAAAAAAAUUGAAAAAAAGAAGUGAAUAGUUUCUAUUUGAGAAACUGUGGGCACCUGUGAGGAAGAAUACCAAUCGUGAGAGACUGGGUGCAAGGUGGCCUGUAACCAAGUUGUUAAAAAUCUUCUGGGCAGAAGAACAUAAGGGUCAGAAUCAAGGCACUGAAGACGUAAAGGAGGGAAUGAAACCGAAAGACAAUUAGCGGGUAAAAUGGAUACUCUGUGACCAAAUGGGGGUGAGUGACAAAAAAAAAGUGCUUGAGGGUUACUCCCUGGGGUCUAGUUGGGAAGCUCGGGCGAAGAGAGAUUUUGAGUAGAAGGUGAAAAAGUUGAUUCAUUUUGGGCUGUGAUAUAAUUGUGGUGUCUAUAAGACCAACAGCAUUGAUCAACUCAUUCAAUAGUUGGAGAAACUAAUCUGUAGUUCAAGAUACACGUGGACAUAACUUUACCUUUCUGUGAUGCUUCAGAUGACUCUUUGGUAUCUAGCCAUGUCUUAGGGGUCACCAUAAUUAACAUUAAGUGUUGCUUGACCGUAAAUGUAUAGAGUUGCAGGUUGUAGAGAGCUGUGUUUAUAGAAAGCCGAAAACAAGCCAUUAACUAGAUUUACUAAUAGGUGCCUUGCCCAGGAACAGUGCAUCGGGGGAAAAAAAAAACAAGCAAGCAAACAAAAAAACAUAUAAAUUAAUAUGUCCAGAAAAAAAAAAAAGAAAAAGGAAGAUACAACCCUUGUUCAAGGAACUUAUUGUCUUCAGCCUAUAGAAGAUAUGACAGGUGGCCAGAUUACCUGUGUUAGGAUCAUGGACCUUGCGCUUGCUAGAUGACCUUGCGCAAGUUAGGUAACUUUUUAAAGCUUGGAUUUGCUCCCUUGCCAAAUCAUCUUUGCAGAAUAUCAGUAUCCUCCUCAUUAAGGAGUUGUAAGGAUUAGCUACGGCGAAACAAAAAUUGA